Non-coding RNA from Arachis ipaensis, 440 nucleotides. The record is from RefSeq and is a predicted model, not a curated record. Lineage: Eukaryota; Viridiplantae; Streptophyta; Magnoliopsida; Fabales; Fabaceae.
GAAGCUGUUAGCUCUCCCUCACUUGGAAGAUUCCUCGGCUAUGUGUCAACUACUAUGGUUGUAAAGCCUAGCCCUGUACUGGACUUCCUUUGUGAGAAUCAGAAUGUGAAACAUCCAGAUUUUAUUGAUUGGACCAAGGUGAUAUUGCUAUCUUUAUUUUAAUUGUAACAAGGUUCUGAUUUUUAUGUUUAUUGAACUGUGAUGCUUUCUUUUUGUUUACUUUCAAGCAAAAAGUGUGCUGAAAAACCUCAGAAUCAAGGUUAAUAAUCUUGAGUUUAAAAUCAGUGGACUCAGUGAUAAUACUUGCAGGACUCAGAAGUGCUACCCUGUUAUCAAGUCCAUCUAACAUUUUGUGUUCUCAUAUUUGUGUUUGCUCAGAGAUUUUUGGUCUAAUCCCUUCAACUUUUUGCUUGGAGUUAAGGUUAGUGCAAUUAUUGUGU